UUUCCGUAGGUGAACCUGCGGAAGGAUCAUUAUCAUGUAAUUCAGUCCCCUUGGCUGUGUUAUAUAUAUACCCACUCUGUGUACCUUCCCUGUUGCUUCCGCUGGCUGUGUAAUUCGCCCGGCGGAAGGGUAAAAAUAACCUCUGAGUAUUGAUGAAAUCUCUGUCUGAACCGAAUAGAAAGAAAAAUGUUAAAACUUUCAGCAACGGAUCUCUUGGUUCUC
RNAcentral lists this unclassified non-coding RNA (222 nucleotides) under plant metagenome. RNAcentral describes it as "partial contains small subunit ribosomal RNA, internal transcribed spacer 1, and 5.8S ribosomal RNA". The record is from RNAcentral.